AAUAAUCGCGCUUGAUUAUUCAGGUGAGGAAAGUCCGUGCAUUCAAGGACAGGCAGCCGGAGAAACUCCGGACGGUGUGAACCGGUGGAAAAGUGCCACAGAAAAGUUAACUGCCGAUGGACAAAAUUGUCACAGGCGAUGGUGCAACGGUGAGGUAAGAGCUCACCUGCGUUUACCGAAAGGUAGCGGCAAGGUAAACCCCUGCAGAAUGCAAGAUUGAAUUGAAGGCUAUAAAGGCUGUCCGCCAACUUCAGAAAAAUCGCUAGAGAUUGGAAGUAAUUCCAAUACCAGACAGAUGAUUAUUUAGAAACAGAACACGGCUUAUGAGUUACUU
Molecule: RNase P RNA, 334 nt
Filed under: human gut metagenome
Description: Bacterial RNase P class A
Rfam family: Bacterial RNase P class A
About the family: Ribonuclease P (RNase P) is a ubiquitous endoribonuclease, found in archaea, bacteria and eukarya as well as chloroplasts and mitochondria. Its best characterised activity is the generation of mature 5'-ends of tRNAs by cleaving the 5'-leader elements of precursor-tRNAs.
Source: RNAcentral